AGAUUAAGUUAUUAAGGGCGCACGGUGGAUGCCUUGGCACUAGAAGCCGAUGAAGGACGUUACUAACAACGAUAUGCUUUGGGGAGCUGUAAGUAAGCUUUGAUCCAGAGAUUUCCGAAUGGGGAAACCCAGCAUGAGUUAUGUCAUGUUAUCGAUAUGUGAAUACAUAGCAUAUCAGAAGGCACACCCGGAGAACUGAAACAUCUUAGUACCCGGAGGAAGAGAAAGAAAAUUCGAUUCCCUUAGUAGCGGCGAGCGAAACGGGAAGAGCCCAAACCAACAAGCUUGCUUGUUGGGGUUGUAGGACACUCUAUACGGAGUUACAAAGGACGACAUUAGACGAAUCAUCUGGAAAGAUGAAUCAAAGAAGGUAAUAAUCCUGUAGUCGAAAAUGUUGUCUCUCUUGAGUGGAUCCUGAGUACGACGGAGCACGUGAAAUUCCGUCGGAAUCUGGGAGGACCAUCUCCUAAGGCUAAAUACUCUCUAGUGACCGAUAGUGAACCAGUACCGUGAGGGAAAGGUGAAAAGCACCCCGGAAGGGGAGUGAAAUAGAACCUGAAACCGUGUGCUUACAAGUAGUCAGAGCCCGUUAAUGGGUGAUGGCGUGCCUUUUGUAGAAUGAACCGGCGAGUUACGAUUUGAUGCAAGGUUAAGCAGUAAAUGUGGAGCCGUAGCGAAAGCGAGUCUGAAUAGGGCGUUUAGUAUUUGGUCGUAGACCCGAAACCAGGUGAUCUACCCUUGGUCAGGUUGAAGUUCAGGUAACACUGAAUGGAGGACCGAACCGACUUACGUUGAAAAGUGAGCGGAUGAACUGAGGGUAGCGGAGAAAUUCCAAUCGAACCUGGAGAUAGCUGGUUCUCUCCGAAAUAGCUUUAGGGCUAGCCUCAAGUGAUGAUUAUUGGAGGUAGAGCACUGUUUGGACGAGGGGCCCCUCUCGGGUUACCGAAUUCAGACAAACU
This 959-nucleotide ribosomal RNA is filed under the name Staphylococcus aureus. Its description in RNAcentral is "partial 23S ribosomal RNA". It matches the Rfam family "Bacterial large subunit ribosomal RNA", at positions 1 to 955 of the family's 2925-position model. The record is from RNAcentral. Lineage: Bacteria; Bacillati; Bacillota; Bacilli; Caryophanales; Staphylococcaceae.